CACCCAACAGCUCAGUCGGUCAGGCAUAAGACUCUAAAUCUCAGGGUUGUGGGUUUGAGUCCCGGGUUGGGUGA
This is a non-coding RNA of Podarcis lilfordi (Lilford's wall lizard), 74 nucleotides long. Lineage: Eukaryota; Metazoa; Chordata; Lepidosauria; Squamata; Lacertidae. The record is from the annotation of a GenBank genome assembly.